RNAcentral lists this ribosomal RNA (885 nucleotides) under Russula pectinatoides. RNAcentral's name for it is "eukaryotic LSU rRNA". It matches the Rfam family "Eukaryotic large subunit ribosomal RNA", at positions 82 to 943 of the family's 3401-position model. The record is from RNAcentral. Lineage: Eukaryota; Fungi; Basidiomycota; Agaricomycetes; Russulales; Russulaceae.
AGUAACUGCGAGUGAAGCGGGAAAAGCUCAAAUUUAAAAUCUGGUGGUCUUUGACCAUCCGAGUUGUAAUUUAGAGAAGCGUCUUCCGCGCUGGACCAUGCACAAGUCUCCUGGAAUGGAGCGUCAUAGAGGGUGAGAAUCCCGUCUUUGGCAUGGACCCCCAGGGCUUCUGUGAUGCGCUCUCAAAGAGUCGAGUUGUUUGGGAAUGCAGCUCAAAAUGGGUGGUGAACUCCAUCUAAAGCUAAAUAUUGGCGAGAGACCGAUAGCGAACAAGUACCGUGAGGGAAAGAUGAAAAGCACUUUGGAAAGAGAGUGAAACAGUACGUGAAAUUGUUGAAAGGGAAACGCUUGAAGUCAGUCGCGUCGACCGAGACUCAGCCUUGCCUCGGCUUGGUGUACUUCUCGGCUGACGGGUCAGCAUCAAUUUUGAUCCUUGGAUAAUGGCAAGGGAAAGGUAGCACCUUUAUUGGUGUGUUAUAGUCCUCUGUCGGAUACAAGGGUUGGGAUUGAGGAACUCAGCACGCACCCUCUCGGUGUCGGGGCCUCGGCCUACGUUACGUGCUUAGGAUGUUGGCAUAAUGGCUUUAAACGACCCGUCUUGAAACACGGACCAAGGAGUCUAACAUGCCCGCGAGUGUUCGGGUGGAAAACCCGUACGCGUAAUGAAAGUAAAAGUUGGGACCUCUGUCGUGGAGGGCACCGACGCCCGGACCAGACCUUCUGUGACGGCUCUGCGGUAGAGCGUGUAUGUUGGGACCCGAAAGAUGGUGAACUAUGCCUGAAUAGGGUGAAGCCAGAGGAAACUCUGGUGGAGGCUCGUAGCGAUUCUGACGUGCAAAUCGAUCGUCAAAUUUGGGUAUAGGGGCGAAAGACUAAUCGAACCAU